Molecule: ribosomal RNA, 253 nt
Filed under: uncultured bacterium
Lineage: Bacteria
Description: partial 16S ribosomal RNA
Rfam family: Bacterial small subunit ribosomal RNA
Source: RNAcentral
UACGUAGGGCGCAAGCGUUAUCCGGAAUUAUUGGGCGUAAAGAGCUCGUAGGCGGUUUGUCGCGUCUGCCGUGAAAGUCCGGGGCUCAACUCCGGAUCUGCGGUGGGUACGGGCAGACUAGAGUGAUGUAGGGGAGACUGGAAUUCCUGGUGUAGCGGUGAAAUGCGCAGAUAUCAGGAGGAACACCGAUGGCGAAAGCGCGUGACUGGGCCACAACUGACGCUGAGGAACGAAAGCCAGGGGAGCGAAAGGG